UACGUAGGUGGCAAGCGUUAUCCGGAAUUAUUGGGCGUAAAGAGCGCGCAGGUGGUUGAUUAAGUCGGAUGUGAAAUCCCGCGGCUCAACCGUGGAAGUGCAUCCGAAACUGCGUGGCUAGAGUCCCUGAGAGGAAGGUGGAAUACUUGGUGUAGAGGUGAAAUUCGUAGAUAUCAAGUGGAACACCGGUGGCGAAGGCGGCCUUCUGGACGGUGACUGACGCUGAGACGCGAAAGCGUGGGUAGCAAACAGGAUUAGAUACCCUGGUA
Molecule: ribosomal RNA, 269 nt
Filed under: uncultured prokaryote
Description: partial 16S ribosomal RNA
Rfam family: Bacterial small subunit ribosomal RNA
Source: RNAcentral